GAGGAGGGAGGAGGAGACCAUAUUCGUGGAUCAUCAAUCCGUGGUGGUGGUCGUGGUCGACUUGAUGCCGAGGGCCUCUUCGGCGGAGCGCUCGCGCUCGACCUGUUGCAUCAAGGCG
This 118-nucleotide non-coding RNA is filed under the name uncultured Pelagophyceae. The record is from RNAcentral. Lineage: Eukaryota; Pelagophyceae.